UCCACGCCCUUGUCCCCAGACUGCCUCCCCUCCUCCCCCAAUCCCUUCUGACUCUCCCUCCAGCUCAGCCUCUGUCCCCCUCUCUGCUUCUUAAGAAAUUCUGGGCUUCCCUCCUUCCCCUUUCUCUCGGCAGCUAGCUGCGUUUGUCACAUGGUAUUUAGGAGAAAUGAAAGCUUGGGUCACAAGGCCCCUGCCCACCCAGCUUUCUAAAAAUCUCCUCUGCCUAUGACCCUCACCCCACCUCCGCUAGCCUCCCCAGAGUCUGGAGGGCUACUUUCUGUCUUUCACUUUCGUUUCUCAACAGGAUUUCACUUCUGCUGCAUCCCCUUCCAAUCAGAAUCCAAGGCUGGACUGAUGGACCCGGACAGGCCAUCCCGCAGCGUUUGGUCCACCCACCCACUUCAGAGACGCAGAGACUGAGCCCCAGGAGGAGAUGGGGAAAGGAGUGAGCCAUGACCAGGUUCCUGGCAACAGAAGGCAGGGUAAACCUCUGCCCCUGGGUCCUGGGUGACAGGGGAAGCUCUGGUCGUGCAAUUCAGAUUGUGCAAAUGCUCUUCUGAGGAAGGAAGUGGGGACACCUUCCAGAAGCCAAAGACUCCAUACAGUACCCACAAGUGAGUCGAGAUUGAAAAGGGCACUGAGCUCAGACUCAAUCACAGUGAGUCCCCUACUUUAAAGCCCUCCUGCCUAUUUCUGAGAGCAAGAACCUGUCCCCAUCCUGACCUACAAACCCAGCAGGAUCUGACACCUCCUCUGACUUCAUCUCUGCUUCAAGUUCAGGGAAUCCAGCCUACUGACCUUUCGGAUUCUUCCCCAAACUGGGUUCCUUCCUACCUCUGAGACUACACCUUUGCUUCCUCUCUGCCAGAAAGACUCUUCCUCUAGAUUUCUGCAUGGCUGCCUUUUUCUCUUUAUUUGAAUUUCAACCCUUAUUAAAUGAUCGCUCUCAAUAGGCACCUCUCCUGAUCAUCUUAGUGAGCAACUGGCUUCUCAGCAUCCUCUCUGUCACCUUGUCCUGUUAUAAUGUCUUCAGAGCACAUAUAACUUGUUCAGUCUCUUCUCCAGUAGAAUGUCCUCUCCACUGGGUCAAGGACCUUUAGCUGUCUCAUUCCCAGUGACUUCCCAGAGUCUGCUUGGCAAAAUAGCAGAUGCUCAGCAAGUACUGGAUGAAUAAAUGAAUGGGAAUGAAGAAUGUCCCAAGGCAAGAUUUGUAAGAAUAAAAUCAGGAAAUCUAAACGUUAACGUGAACCUUGCCAAAGCUGAACAUAUCACCAAAAAUCAUAUAUAUAUAUAUCUAUAUAUACACACAAUAUAUAUAUAUGUAUAUAUAUAUAUAUAUAUAUAUAUAUAUAUAUAUAUAUAUAUAUAUAUAUAAAACAUAUGCAUCUAUAUGUAUUUUAUAUGAUACAUAUGUAUGUAUCUAUAAUAUAUUUUUUUGGUGAUCCUUAUGUAUCAUAUAAUAUAUGAUCAUAUAUAUCAUUUUUGGUGAUCUAUAUAUGUGUAUAUAUUAUAUCUGAUAAGAAGCCAAGCGUGGUGGAUGAUACAAACCCUUGGAGGUAUAAGACUGAGGAGUGGUGGCAAGAAAGCAGGGCUGUCUUCUAAAUUCUGCUUGUCACUGCAGUCAGGAACAGUGCGCUUUGGACCAGGCAGGGGAGAGAAGAGGGUGCCUCUGUGAGCCGUCUCCACCUCUCCAUGGAGGAAGCUCAGGAUCCCCAGCCACGGGGUGUGGGGACAAAGUGCAGGUCAUAUCAGACCCAGCUCCUACCUGUCUUGGCAAGGUCCCUAGACUGGCAGAGGUGACAAGGACCAUCUCGGAGUGCUGAGCCUUACAAGGGAGAGUCCUGGCUUGCUCUCGGUGAUCUUCGGAGGGUGGUGGAGGAGGGAAAGGCUUCUAACCACAGUGUGGUCUGCAGACAAGAAAGCAGCAGAGAAAAGCUCGGAGCAGUUUCUUCCUUUGCACCUGGACUCCAUGCACAGACAGGGAGGAGCGAGUAGCCUCUGACAGAUAGGGGAAGUAGUGUCUGCGGGUAACUGAUUGUCACUUGGGGCAUGAGUGACAUUAUUAACAGCUAGGGCAGGGACUCCUAGUACAGAGGAGCUGGAGAGCUCAUGGCCGCAGGCAUGACCCACAGACCCGUGUGGUUCGGUCCAGGUAGGGUUCAGCCCCAGACUGUCAAGUUUUCAUUGUUGCAUUUGUCAUUAUUUAAGGCUGCUGGUCCAUAAUAUGCUGUGUGUGAGGGGGGGGGGAAUGGGAGG
RNAcentral lists this long non-coding RNA (2256 nucleotides) under Marmota monax (woodchuck). The record is from RNAcentral. Lineage: Eukaryota; Metazoa; Chordata; Mammalia; Rodentia; Sciuridae.